GACGAACGCUGGCGGCGUGCUUAACACAUGCAAGUCGAGCGGUAAGGCUCCUUCGGGAGUACACGAGCGGCGAACGGGUGAGUAACACGUGAGUAAUCUGCCCUUCACUUCGGGAUAACCACCGGAAACGGUGGCUAAUACCGAAUACGACCAGUCUUCGCAUGAGGUGCUGGUGGAAAGUCUUUUCGGUGAAGGAUGUGCUCGCGGCCUAUCAGCUUGUUGGUGGGGUAAUGGCCUACCAAGGCUUCGACGGGUAGCCGGCCUGAGAGGGUGACCGGCCACACUGGGACUGAGACUCGGCCCAGACUCCUACGUGAGGCAGCAGUGGGGAAUAUUGGACACUGGGCGAAAGCCUGAUCCAGCAACGCCGCGUGAGGGAUGACGGCCUUCGGGUUGUAAUCCUCUUUCAGUACCGACGAAGCGCCCUGUCGGGUGGUGACGGUAGGUACAGAAGAAGGACCGGCCAACUACGUG
Molecule: ribosomal RNA, 474 nt
Filed under: uncultured bacterium
Lineage: Bacteria
Description: partial 16S ribosomal RNA
Rfam family: Bacterial small subunit ribosomal RNA
Source: RNAcentral